Molecule: long non-coding RNA, 288 nt
Filed under: Panax ginseng (ginseng)
Lineage: Eukaryota; Viridiplantae; Streptophyta; Magnoliopsida; Apiales; Araliaceae
Description: long non-coding RNA (PGIN_LNC001647)
Source: RNAcentral
GUUGGAUAAUUCUCAAAUAGCUCAAAAGAAAAUCAAAUCUUUAAGCAAUUUAUUUCAUUUAUUGAAUGGUCUUUAACCCCCCUUUUGUUUGUCUCGUUUAAAAUACAAUCAUCUAUUUGGAUUUGGAUUCUUUAGUCUGAUUCAGUUAUUGAGACAAUGGAAACGGCGUUUCCUUGUUCUGGGAUCCUUUUUCUUUGUUUUAAAUCAUUGGGUUUAGACAUUACUUCGGUGCUUCUUAAUCCUUCCAACAAAAUGGCAGCAACAUACCCCUUUUGUGAUUUCUUUCUA